GAAACCCGGGCUAAUACCGCAUGAGCCUGGAGUUGUCGUUAACUUCAGGGAAAGCAUUUAUGUACCGAAGGAGGAGCCCGCGUCCGAUUAGCUAGUUGGUGAGGUAAGAGCUCACCAAGGCGACGAUCGGUAGCCGGUCUGAGAGGACGGACGGUCACACUGGGACUGAGACACGGCCCAGACUCCUACGGGAGGCAGCAGUGGGGAAUUUUGGGCAAUGGGCGAAAGCCUGACCCAGCAACGCCGCGUGGAGGAUGAAGGUUUUCGGAUCGUAAACUCCUGUCUAGAGGGACGAAGAAAGUGACGGUACCUCUGGAGGAAGCCCCGGCUAACUCCGUGCCAGCAGCCGCGGUAAUACGGGGGGGGCGAGCGUUGUUCGGAAUUACUGGGCGUAAAGGGCGCGUAGGCGGUUUCGGAAGUCAUGGGUGAAAGUCCUCGGCUCAACCGAGGGAUUGCCUGUGAAACCACGGGACUGGAGUGCUGGAGAGGGAAGUGGAAUUCCCAGUGUAGCGGUGAAAUGCGUAGAUAUUGGGAGGAACACCUGUGGCGAAGGCGGCUUCCUGGACAGACACUGACGCUGAGGC
This 584-nucleotide ribosomal RNA is filed under the name uncultured bacterium. RNAcentral describes it as "bacterial SSU rRNA". It matches the Rfam family "Bacterial small subunit ribosomal RNA", at positions 153 to 752 of the family's 1533-position model. The record is from RNAcentral.